UCCCGUUCCAGAUCGACUGCUCUGUGAUUCUGCAGAAAGUUUUUUAAACACUACUGCGCACUUUAGCUUUCAGUCCUCUAGUGUGUGAAUCCGUACUGAACAAUCGGGAGAUCAGAAGAGUGUGUCCUCGCAGGCUGAUUAUCGGAGCUGUUAUAAUGAGGACUACAGCCAGAAACCUCUUUUUACAUUUUUUUUUGAACAAUAACACGCUCAGACGUCAGUGUGUAAGUGAUGUGAUUCGUCUCACAUACACAGGGAUAUCUUUCAUAUGUGCGUAUGUGUGUAUAAAAUAAAGGAAUGUCACUACACGCUGUGCGUUUCAGUAUCUCUGCUCUAGACAAAGAAGCUUAGGACUUGAUAAUGUCUCGCCACGCCGAGUGUUUCCGUUCCAAACCAGAUGAGGAAGGAAGGCGUAAGGACCGGCAGGAAAAGGAACGAAUGCUUCAACAUACACACACACACACACACACACACACACACACACACACACACACAUGCACACAUGCACACUAACAAGUACUGUGGUUUAUCAAUAGCAGGAAAGGGAGGAGAAGACAGGGGAGAGAAUAGAGGGAAAUGAGCAGAGCAAUAACAAAUCAACACUACAGAGUGAGGGAGUGAGUUAGUGAUUUUGUGAGGGAGUGAAUGAGUUAGGGAGUGGAUGAGGGAAUGAGUUAGUGAGGGAGUUAGUGAGGGAGUGAAUGAGGGAGUGAGUGAAUAAGGGAGUGAGUGAGUGAGUGAAUGAGGGAGUGAAUGAGUGAGUGAGUGAAUGAGGGAGUGAAUGAGGGAGUGAAUGAGUGAAUGAGGGAGUGAGUGAGGGAGUGAGUGAGUGAAUUAGUGAGUGAGUGAAUUGGUGAGUGAGUGAAUGAGGGAGUGAAUGAGGGAGUGAGUGAGUGAAUGAGGGAGUGAAUGAGGGAGUGAAUGAGUGAGUGAAUGAGGGAGUGAGUGAGGGAGUGAAUGAGGGAGUGAAUGAGGGAGUGAGUGAGUGAGUGAGUGAAUGAGGGAGUGAAUGAGGGAGUGAGUGAAUGAGUGAGUGAGUGAGUGAAUGAGUGAGUGAAUGAGGGAGUGAAUGAGUGAGUGAGUGAGUGAGUGAAUGAGUGAGUGAAUGAGGGAGUGAAUGAGUGAAUGAGGGAGUGAAUGAAUGAGGGAGUGAAUGAGGGAGUGAAUGAGGGAGUGAGUGAGUGAGGGAGUGAAUGAGGGAGUGAGUGAGGGAGUGAAUGAGGGAGUGAGUGAGUGAGUGAAUGAGGGAGUGAAUGAGGGAGUGAGUGAAUGAGGGAGUGAGUGAGGGAGUGAGGGAGUGAGUGAGUGAGUGAGUGAAUGAGGGAGUGAAUGAGGGUGUGAAUGAGUGAGUGAGUGAAUGAGGGAGUGAGUGAGUGAGGGAGUGAAUGAGGAGUGAGUGAGGGAGUGAGUGAGUGAGGGAGUGAAUGAGGGAGUGAGUGAGGGAGUGAAUGAGGGAGUGAAUGAGGGAGUGAAUCAGUGAGUGAAUGAGGGAGUGAGUGAGUGAGUGAGUGAAUGAGGGAGUGAGUGAGUGAGUGAAUGAGGGAGUGAGGGAGUUAGUGAGUGAGUAAAUGAGUGAGUGAGUGAGUGAGUGAGUGAGUGAGUGAGUGAAUGAGGGAGUGAAUGAGGGAGUGAAUGAAUGAGGGAGUGAAUGAGGGAGUGAGUGAGUGAGUGAGUGAAUGAGGGAGUGAAUGAGGGAGUGAGUGAGUGAGUGAGUGAAUGAGGGAGUGAGUGAGUGAGUGAGUGAAUGAGGGAGUGAGUGAGUGAGUGAAUGAGGGAGUGAGUGAGGGAGUGAGGGAGUGAGUGAGUGAGUGAGUGAAUGAGGGAGUGAAUGAGGGUGUGAAUGAGUGAGUGAGUGAAUGAGGGAGUGAGUGAGUGAGGGAGUGAGUGAGGGAGUGAGUGAGUGAGGGAGUGAAUGAGGGAGUGAGUGAGGGAGUGAGUGAGUGAGGGAGUGAAUGAGGGAGUGAGUGAAUGAGGGAGUGAAUGAGGGAGUGAAUGAGGGAGUGAGUGAGGGAGUGAAUGAGGGAGUGAAUGAGGGAGUGAAUGAGUGAGUGAGUGAGUGAGUGAGUGAGUGAAUGAGGGAGUGAGUGAAUGAGGGAGUGAAUGAGGGAGUGAAUGAGUGAGUGAAUGAGGGAGUGAG
This is a long non-coding RNA of Ictalurus punctatus (channel catfish), 2137 nucleotides long. NCBI's taxonomy places the organism in Eukaryota, Metazoa, Chordata, Actinopteri, Siluriformes, Ictaluridae. The record is from Ensembl.